AAAGGAGCAGGCAUUAGGCACAACCCUACGUUAGCCCACAACGCCUUGCUCAGCCACACCCCCAAGGGAACUCAGCAGUAAUAAACAUUAAGCUAUAAGUGAAAACUUGACUUAGUUAAAACCAAGAGGGCCGGUAAAACUCGUGCCAGCCACCGCGGUUAUACGAGAGGCCCAAGUUGACAACUACCGGCGUAAAAUGUGGCUAAUAUAGUAUUACACUAAAGCUAAACAUCUUCAAAGCUGUUAUACGCAUCCGAAGACAGGAUGCCCUUCCACGAAAGUGGCUUUAAACAAUAUUAACCCACGAAAGCUAGGAAACAAACUGGGAUUAGAUACCCCACUAUGCCUAGCCUUAAACAAAAGCGAUUUAUUUACACCCCUCGCUUGCCAGGGAACUACGAGCCCCAGCUUAAAACCCAAAGGACUUGGCGGUGCUUUAGACCCACCUAGAGGAGCCUGUUCUAGAACCGAUAACCCCCGUUCAACCUCACCUUCUCUUGUUUUUCCCGCCUAUAUACCGCCGUCGUCAGCUUACCCUGUGAAGGGCACAUAGUGAGCACAAUUGGUACAACCCAAAACGUCAGGUCGAGGUGUAGCGUACGAGAAGGGAAGAAAUGGGCUACAUUUACUGAACCAGUAAACACGGAUAAUGCCUUGAAACAGACAUUUAAAGGAGGAUUUAGCAGUAAGAGAGGAAUAGAGCGCCCCUCUGAAACUGGCCCUGAAGCGCGCACACACCGCCCGUCACUCUCCCCCACAACCAU
RNAcentral lists this ribosomal RNA (764 nucleotides) under Rhinogobius similis (barecheek goby). RNAcentral's name for it is "partial 12S ribosomal RNA". It matches the Rfam family "Bacterial small subunit ribosomal RNA", at positions 277 to 1416 of the family's 1533-position model. The record is from RNAcentral. Lineage: Eukaryota; Metazoa; Chordata; Actinopteri; Gobiiformes; Gobiidae.